AUGAACGCUGGCGGCGUGCCUAAUACAUGCAAGUCGAGCGAACGGACGAGAAGCUUGCUUCUCUGAUGUUAGCGGCGGACGGGUGAGUAACACGUGGAUAACCUACCUAUAAGACUGGGAUAACUUCGGGAAACCGGAGCUAAUACCGGAUAAUAUUUUGAACCGCAUGGUUCAAAAGUGAAAGACGGUCUUGCUGUCACUUAUAGAUGGAUCCGCGCUGCAUUAGCUAGUUGGUAAGGUAACGGCUUACCAAGGCAACGAUGCAUAGACGACCUGAGAGGGUGAUCGGCCACACGGGAACUGAGACGCGGUCCAGACUCCUACGGGAGGCAGCAGUAGGGAAUCUUACGCAAUGGGCGAAAGCCUGACGGAGCAACGCCGCGUGAGUGAUGAAGGUGUUCGGAGCGUAAAAACCUGUUAUGAGGGGAGAACAUAUGUGUAAGUAACUGUGCACAUCUUGACGGUACCUAAUCAGAAAGCCACGGCUAACUACGUG
RNAcentral lists this ribosomal RNA (496 nucleotides) under uncultured bacterium. Its description in RNAcentral is "partial 16S ribosomal RNA". It matches the Rfam family "Bacterial small subunit ribosomal RNA", at positions 29 to 507 of the family's 1533-position model. The record is from RNAcentral.